AUGGAAGCCCGAGAGUCAGCCCCAAACAUUUCUUGGGGGCACACAGGAAGUGUGGCGAAGCCAGGUAGGAGACCUGCGCCAACUUCCUGUGCUUACCGGAGGGCGAGAGAGACCGGGCAGGCACCGUGUUAUGCUGUGGAGCGCACGGUGUCCCCAGUGCGGUUGCAUAGCCCGAUGCGGUACAUACCAGCUCCUCGGAUCGGCCGGGCUAGAGUGGGCAUCGAGCCAGGUGCCAUGAAGCCGGCUCUACGCAUCUGGUCUCCAGUGCAUCUCCUUGGGCCGGCGUACAUGGCACCAGCCUUGCGCAUGGUGUCGGUUCGCCCGCACAGCCCAGUGCGGGCUAUUCCACCUUGCCGUACUGGCAGGGCGACUGGGAGCAUUCAACCAGGUAAGGUUGGGCAGGCUCGGUGCUCAAGAGCUCCAGUGCGACUGCACGGUCCGGUCUAUCCAGUACCACCUCCACGCAUCAGCCCUCCGGUGGCAGCUCCCCACACUCGCCCUGAGGUGCGUGUCCUCGGCCCAGUACCACCAGUGCCGGCACCACGCACCAGGCCUACAGUGCGCCCCGUCAGCCAGGAUCCGCCAGAGUCUCCCGGUCAGCCAGGAUCCGCCAGAGUCUCCCGGUCAGCCAGGAUCCGCCAGAGUCUCCCGGUCAGCCAGGAUCCGCCAGAGUCUCCCGGUCAGCCAGGAUCCGCCAGAGUCUCCCGGUCAGCCAGGAUCCGCCAGAGUCUCCCGGUCAGCCAGGAUCCGCCAGAGUCUCCCGGUCAGCCAGGAUCCGCCAGAGUCUCCCGGUCAGCCAGGAUCCGCCAGAGUCUCCCGGUCAGCCAGGAUCCGCCAGAGUCUCCCGGUCAGCCAGGAUCCGCCAGAGUCUCCCGGUCAGCCAGGAUCCGCCAGAGUCUCCCGGUCAGCCAGGAUCCGCCAGAGUCUCCCGGUCAGCCAGGAUCCGCCAGAGUCUCCCGGUCAGCCAGGAUCCGCCAGAGUCUCCCGGUCAGCCAGGAUCCGCCAGAGUCUCCCGGUCAGCCAGGAUCCGCCAGGGUCUCCCGGUCAGCCAGGAUCCGCCAGGGUCUCCCGGUCAGCCAGGAUCCGCCAGGGUCUCCCGGUCAGCCAGGAUCCGCCAGGGUCAGCCAGGAUCCGCCAGGGUCAGCCAGGAUCCGCCAGGGUCAGCCAGGAUCCGCCAGAGUCAGCCAGGAUCCGCCAGAGUCUCCCGGUCAGCCAGGAUCCGCCAGAGCCGUCAACCAGCCUGAGCUACCUCUCGGUCCUGAGCUACCUCAGUCCCGAGCUGCCCCUCGGUCCAGGGGAGCCCUUUGUUAG
RNAcentral lists this long non-coding RNA (1311 nucleotides) under Oncorhynchus kisutch (coho salmon). RNAcentral describes it as "lncRNA (ENSOKIG00005035071.1)". Lineage: Eukaryota; Metazoa; Chordata; Actinopteri; Salmoniformes; Salmonidae. The record is from RNAcentral.